UACGGAGGGUGCGAGCGUUGUCCGGAAUCACUGGGCGUAAAGGGCGCGUAGGCGGCCGGAGAAGUCGGUGGUGAAAGCUCGGGGCUCAACUCCGAGUCGGCCACCGAUACUGUUCGGCUCGAGUUUGGUAGAAGCAGAUGGAAUUCCGGGUGUAGCGGUGGAAUGCGUAGAGAUCCGGAAGAACACCGGUGGCGAAGGCGGUCUGCUGGGCCAAGACUGACGCUGAGGCGCGACAGCGUGGGGAGCAAACAGG
This 253-nucleotide ribosomal RNA is filed under the name uncultured bacterium. Its description in RNAcentral is "partial 16S ribosomal RNA". It matches the Rfam family "Bacterial small subunit ribosomal RNA", at positions 524 to 776 of the family's 1533-position model. The record is from RNAcentral.